AUACUUAUCUGGCAGGGGAGACAGCAAGAUCACGAAGGUGGUUUUCUCAGGGCAAGGCUUAUCCAUUGCACUCUGGAUGUGCUGACCCCUGCGAUUUCCCCAAAUGUGAGAAACUCGACUGCAUAAUUUGUGGUAGUCGGGGGACUGUAUUCGUGCUUUCCCCUA
Molecule: small nuclear RNA, 165 nt
Filed under: Aotus nancymaae (Ma's night monkey)
Lineage: Eukaryota; Metazoa; Chordata; Mammalia; Primates; Aotidae
Description: U1 spliceosomal RNA (ENSANAG00000019007.1)
Rfam family: U1 spliceosomal RNA
About the family: U1 is a small nuclear RNA (snRNA) component of the spliceosome (involved in pre-mRNA splicing). Its 5' end forms complementary base pairs with the 5' splice junction, thus defining the 5' donor site of an intron. There are significant differences in sequence and secondary structure between metazoan and yeast U1 snRNAs, the latter being much longer (568 nucleotides as compared to 164 nucleotides in human).
Source: Rfam by way of RNAcentral